This 465-nucleotide ribosomal RNA is filed under the name Vreelandella stevensii. RNAcentral describes it as "partial 16S ribosomal RNA". It matches the Rfam family "Bacterial small subunit ribosomal RNA", at positions 338 to 795 of the family's 1533-position model. The record is from RNAcentral. Lineage: Bacteria; Pseudomonadati; Pseudomonadota; Gammaproteobacteria; Oceanospirillales; Halomonadaceae.
CGUACGGGGGGCUGCAGUGGGGAAUAUUGGACAAUGGGGGCAACCCUGAUCCAGCCAUGCCGCGUGUGUGAAGAAGGCCCUCGGGUUGUAAAGCACUUUCAGUGAGGAAGAACGCCUGGUGGUUAAUACCCAUCAGGAAAGACAUCACUCACAGAAGAAGCACCGGCUAACUCCGUGCCAGCAGCCGCGGUAAUACGGAGGGUGCGAGCGUUAAUCGGAAUUACUGGGCGUAAAGCGCGCGUAGGUGGCUUGAUAAGCCGGUUGUGAAAGCCCCGGGCUCAACCUGGGAACGGCAUCCGGAACUGUCAAGCUAGAGUGCAGGAGAGGAAGGUAGAAUUCCCGGUGUAGCGGUGAAAUGCGUAGAGAUCGGGAGGAAUACCAGUGGCGAAGGCGGCCUUCUGGACUGACACUGACACUGAGGUGCGAAAGCGUGGGUAGCAAACAGGAUUAGAUACCCUGGUAGUC